CUGCCUGGUAGUGGGGGACGAACGUUUCGAAAGGAACGCUAAUACCGCAUACGUCCUACGGGAGAAAGCAGGGACCUUCGGGCCUUGCGCUAUCAGAUGAGCCUAGGUCGGAUUAGCUAGUUGGUGAGGUAAUGGCUCACCAAGGCGACGAUCCGUAACUGGUCUGAGAGGAUGAUCAGUCACACUGGAACUGAGACACGGUCCAGACUCCUACGGGAGGCAGCAGAC
This 228-nucleotide ribosomal RNA is filed under the name uncultured Pseudomonas sp. Its description in RNAcentral is "partial 16S ribosomal RNA". It matches the Rfam family "Bacterial small subunit ribosomal RNA", at positions 126 to 354 of the family's 1533-position model. The record is from RNAcentral. Lineage: Bacteria; Pseudomonadati; Pseudomonadota; Gammaproteobacteria; Pseudomonadales; Pseudomonadaceae.